RNAcentral lists this ribosomal RNA (477 nucleotides) under uncultured anaerobic ammonium-oxidizing bacterium. Its description in RNAcentral is "bacterial SSU rRNA". It matches the Rfam family "Bacterial small subunit ribosomal RNA", at positions 365 to 832 of the family's 1533-position model. The record is from RNAcentral.
UUCGCAAUGCCCGAAAGGGUGACGAUGCGACGCCGCGUGUGGGAAGAAGGCCUUCGGGUUGUAAACCACUGUUGGGAGUUAGGAAGUGUGGAAGUGUUAAUAGCGCUUUCACUUGACUAAAGCUCCAGAGGAAGCCACGGCUAACUCUGUGCCAGCAGCCGCGGUAAUACAGAGGCGGCAAGCGUUGUUCGGAAUUAUUGGGCGUAAAGAGCACGUAGGCGGCCGUGUAGGUCGGUUGUGAAAGCCUUCCGCUCAACGGAAGGACGGCAUCCGAUACUGCAUGGCUCGAGUGCGGGAGGGGAGAGUGGAACUUCUGGUGGAGCGGUGAAAUGCGUAGAUAUCAGAAGGAACACCGGCGGCGAAGGCGACUCUCUGGUCCGUAACUGACGCUGAGUGUGCGAAAGCUAGGGGAGCAAACGGGAUUAGAUACCCCGGUAGUCCUAGCCGUAAACGAUGGGCACUAAGUAGAGGGGUUUU